CAGAGAUGUAGACCAAUGUUUUCGCGUAGGAGUCUGUGCUGCAUAACAAAUGUGUUUUGUUGAAAUGUCAUGUAAUCAUAUGUGAGUGUUAUUUUCAAAAACUGUAAUUCAGCUUUAUGUGGAAGGAUUUUCACUGCCUGCGAUAAUUGUUGCAUACUUGAUUUUAUAACAUGACAGCAGAACAAUGAAUUAUUAAGUGCAUUAUUACUGCAGUCAUUGGGUUACUAAAUAAAAAAGAAAAUAUGGCACAGAGUAGCUCCAGUGGCACGUCGUCUAGGCGGCACGGGAGGAGCGAUCACGAUACAGCUUCAUUAACAUCAAGCAGAUAUGCCGACGCCGAAUGGGAAGCCAAGGAGGCAUUACGGCAGAGAGAAUUGGAGGAAGCAAGAGCUCGCGCAACCCAGAUGGAAAAGACGAUGAGAUGGUGGUCUGAUUGUACUGCAAACUGGAGAGAAAAAUGGAGCAAGGUACGUAAUGAACGUAACAAAGCCAGAGAAGAAUCGAAACAGUUGAGGAUGCGACUAGAAGCAGCAAUGAAAGAUGCUGGAACCUGCAGGAGGGAGCGCCAAGAACUAGAAACAGAAAAUGAGCGGCUAAGGCAAGAGUUAGAACAAGCACACAUGUUACUACUGAAGGGAGCAGGGAAAUCAGGCAGUGCAUGGGCACCAAAUAGUAAUUUGCCAGCCGAUGACCAUGAAGCAGAGGAGUAUGUUCUUCCUCGGCACACUACAGAACUGUGCCAUGCAGGAGUGGUGGGGCGUGAAAAUGCAGUUGAUGGAGAUGCUCAAGAUCCAGCAGCUGUAUCAACAGGAUUGUCAGCAUCUGAUGCAGCCUUGGGUGAUAUGGACCCCACAGCAGCCCUAGGACCACGUGACCCUGCAGCAGAUGGUGGAGAAGAUCUGGAUCGUGAUCAUGACUGCAUGUUGCAGAAGAUGUCUAUGCUACAGCUUAGAUUAGAUGAGGCUUCAAAGACUAUACAGAUUGAGAGAGAAGAAAAAGGAGCACUGCAACGAGCUUUGGACAGGUUACGCGGAGAUCUGGCUGGUGAGACAAGGGUGCAAGACGGUGGUAUAGCAGGACGACUUGCGCUCCUUAGAGCAGAGCUCGAACGCAUGCAGGCAGAAAAUUCUGCUGAAUGGAGAAGAAGUGAAAGCCUGGAGACUGAGAAACUUGCCUUGGAGAGAGAGAACAAAAAGCUACGAGCUGAACUUCGCGAUGCAAAUGAGCGACUUGAACGUAUGCAGCGCAAUGUUGCAGCAGGCCGUUUGCCUUUGCCUUCAUCAUCAGUUGUGGAAACAGAGCUGCGCGAAGAUCUUGCUGACAGAGUUAAGGAGCUGACUGAACUGAAACAGGCACACUCAAAGCUAAAAAAGGUAUUUCAAGAAAAGUCAACAGAACUUGCACAUGCAGCAAGACGGGCAGAACAGUACGAGGCAGAAGUAAAGAGACUGCGUGCUCGUGUUGAGGAAGUGAAAAGGGAACUAACAGCAGCAGAGGAUGAAGUUGAUGCUGCCUCAAACAGCAUACGAAAACUCCAGAGAGCAAAUGAUGAAUUACAGGAACAAGUAGAGACGCUGCAGGUACAACUUGAACAUUUGCACUCCAGAGACAGCCUGUGUCUUGAGGAGACCUCCUGAGAGCAUGCUGUCCCUGCCAGCGAAGCUCUUGGCAGGGUCCUCUAUGGCGACAGCACUGUAGGCACACUCUGAGUGUGUUGCCAGGUUCCAGGUUCCCAGUUCUUCAAGUUCUCACCGUAAUGGCCAAGAUUUUGCCUUUCGUGGAGAACUGAGUGAUGAUGAAGUUAUAUAUUAAAUGAUUUGUGGGUAUUUGUCAUUGCACUUCCAUUUCUGGUAACUUGUGAAAACAUAUUGCAAUACAACUGUAUAGAAAUGGCAUUUUUUCAAAAUAAGUAAAUAACAGUUGAAUUUAUAGUAACUAGUAAAAUAUAGCUUCAGUGAAGCAUAUAGUAUUUUUCUAUAUAUUUGACUGUAAUUCAUGGUGGAAUUGAAUGACUGCAUUCCAUUGCAUAUUUGUACUAUUAAAACUGUAAUUAGACAAAAAGUGGUUGACAUAUUGAAUGAUGAAUUAGCAGUUAUGAUCAUUUGUCUGAGCUCACUUCAGCACUUACAAUUUAGAAAAAAAUAACGGCAAAUAUUUCAGGAAAAAGUAGCUGUCUAACAAAGCUCACUUCUCAAAUCUUGGGUGCUCUUUCAUAUCUGAACAUUCAAAUGAAGCAGACAGGAUGCCAAUCAUCUGUGGAUGAACUGUGCAGCUUUAUAAUAGACACAUAAUGACAGAGGUAGUUCCCCUUCUUAAGAUCUAGUCGAACUUGUGGGGAUGCUGAUAAUGGUUCAUGGUAUAUUUGGCUAGAACCUCCCAUGACUUAGCUCACGGGUGAGUAGCAGACUGAAUUGACAUGGAAGAUUCUUUUGUCCCAGUCUUGAGCCCAUCAAAUUGUUGGCUCUCCUGUAGCUUGAGGUGCUAGUAUUUGAGUUGCUCCAUUUUGUACAAUAGAUGACUUCUGUAAAUGUUCUGCUUGUUAUUGAAAAAUUUUACUUAGGAAAUGGCAUUUUGUAUUUUAGUGAGUUCAGUUUUCCUAUGUACAAAUGUGACUACAGAAACAUAUAUUUAUUUAUGUAAAGGAAGACUUGUGAUAUAUCAACUCAUGUAAUUAAUGAAUAAUAUAAUUUAAAUUUACUAGAUCCCUUUCUGUAAAAAGUGAUGCAAGUUUUUAUAUUAAAAAAUCACGUGAGGUAACUAUUAAAUUACAAAGAGAAUGUAUGGCUGGCCAUUUCGUUAUUCACUCAAUUAUUCCUGUUUUACUGUUUGGAUCAUCAUCUUUUCCUCUCCUUUUCCUUUUCUGCCCCCUCCUUCUCCUAGUUAUUAGUUACACUUUUCAUACCACUUGUCAUUUCUCUUGUUUUUAAUCCAUCUCACUGUUCUUCUGUCUUGCGUAGGCUUGAAGCUUCCACAGUGCUGAUUGGUGUACUAUAUUUGAGCUCUUAGUGUCUCUGAUACCUCCCACUUCAUCCAUAUCUGUCCCGGCCUUAUUACAUGUGAUUCUUCUGAUUCUUCUCUACCUGAUGUCUGAGUGAUCUGCCUCCCUUUUCUAACCUUCCCCACCAUAUUUCUCUUUCCUCCCUGAGGAAGGAACUAACAGUUCUGAAAGCUUUAUACAUGGGUAUCUAUUGGCAGUACUUAGGAUUUUGCCUCUUGAAAUAAAUACUGACCAGCCAUUCUGUCUCCUUGUAAUGAUAUAAUUAUUUAAGUGAUAGUAAUUUUUUACAGAAAUUGACAUACAAGUUUGUGUGUUUACUCACAGCUCUGGUCUGUGAAGAGUUGUGUGUCUUGUAAAAUUUAAUGUUAUAAAGCAGUUUGAAAUGUCAGAAAGUUGUUUCUUUUUCUGUUAAAACAUGAAAUGAUGAUAGAAAACAGAGUUAUCUGUUUUCUUUAUUGAUGCCAUUUUCCUGUACUUGCCUUUUGAGAAUGGUAUUAUAUUAAUUCCUACUGAAUCUUGAAGUUUUAUUACAUUUGUAUCAUUUUACAACUACAGUGCUACACUGUCUGCAUGUAUCUGUGUAAUGCGUGUAUCAUGAAAGGAUAAGGAUACAAGGCAGAAGUUGUCUGUCACUAGCCUGUUCAACAAAUAGAUAAAUAAAUAAAAGGGGACAUAAAUGGGGAUAUGAACAUCAGCAAUA
Molecule: RNA transcript, 3698 nt
Organism: Schistocerca serialis cubense
Lineage: Eukaryota; Metazoa; Arthropoda; Insecta; Orthoptera; Acrididae
Gene name: coiled-coil domain-containing protein 102A
Exons: 10
Source: RefSeq, a predicted model, not a curated record